AACCGAAAAAACCGAACCGAAACCGAACCGAUAUCCGGAUUGAACACCCCUAUUUUGAACCCUUUCGGAUAUUUAAUCAAUUUCGGUUCCGACUUGGUACUACUUUUUUGGAUUGGGUUCGGUUCGGUUUUUCGGAUUCGUAUUUUUUGAGCAGCUCUAGCUAUUUCGAUAAUAGUUUUUAUCUUUAGUGGUAGGAAAAGAAUAUCUGACUGGAAUUUUGCAUGGAAAAAAUUAUACUAAACAUUUUAAAUAUAAGUGAUAAGUUUACCAUAUUAAUCAAAUAAGUUAGUUUGAAUUAUAUGUAUACCUUAUUAUACAAUUACAUUGCAAUAUGGUUGCUUUUGAUAACGCAUAUAUUCACAAAUAUCAGAAGAAAACAAAACAGAAGUUUCGGGUCCACGGAGAGUGGUGGUUACUAUUUUCGUCAAAGGUUUCUAUUUUGGGGGAUUUCCCAAAAUGGAUAAAGUAAAAUUUAUAAUGGUGCACAGACCCCAUGGGUGUUAAUGCAACUUAGAUCAACGUUUACUUUCAUAUGUUUCUAAUAGAAGGAUCCGGAGGGACUUUCUGAGGCGAAACGAGAUAUGACUAAGCGGGCACGGAUCGGAUAUCCAGGGUUUCGAAGGUAUUUGUGAUUUGCUUUGUAUGUUACGGAUAUCUAAUUUUCUGAUUUGGUUUGCUUCGGAAAAAUACGGAUAUUCGGAAAACGGAUAAUCGGAAAAUAAAUAGAUAUUUGCGGAUAUUUACGAAUACUUACAGAUAUCUCAUAUGUUUUGAUUAAUGCAAAUAAUCUUAAAAUUUUGAUAUAAAUUUGUUUUGUAAAAUUAUUUUUUGCAUGAUAUGUAAGAUAAAAAUUAAAAUAAAUAUUGAAUCUACAUAUUUUACAAAUUUUUUAAACUUAGUUAGCAAUUAUAAUAUGCCAAAAAUUAAGAAAAAAUUAUAAUUCUCAUAAAUUUAUUCAUUUCCUUUUAUGAAAUAUUUUUAUAUAAGUAAUAAUGUGAAUAGAAUUUGUCAAAUCAUAUGUUAGAAUAACAAUUAUAUAAUUUUAUACAUUUAAAACUUUAAAUAUAGUCAAGAUAUACAUAUAUUUAUAUAUUACCGGAUCGGAUCGGAUAUCCGCUUCCCAAAAUUUUAAUAUUUGUGAUUUGCUUCGAUUUUAACGGAUAUUGAUUUUUAGUAUUUGCUUUGCUUCGAAGGUUUACGGAUAUCCGGAAUUUUUAAAUCGAAUCGAAACGAAUAACGAAUCAAAUCAAAUUUAACGGAUAAAAUGUCCAGCCCUAGAUAUGACGAGUUUGAAAGAUGCACUAAAGGAAACAUUUUCCCGCCAAAUGAGGAUAUUUUAGUUAGGCUUUUCGACUAUUAAUGUGAUCAAAGCCCAAUAUAUCAAACUUCAAAUUGCGCCAAAAUUUUAUAAUCAUUUAAUUAAUCAAUAAUUUAAUAACUAUAUUUAUUACUGUUGGAAAUACAAUAUUUCAUGUGAUAUUAUUUGAAUUUUGUAGAUUUAAUUCGGCGUAAGGCACACAUUUUAACCUAAUUAUCCAGCUAUAGAACCCAACAUGUAAUUCACUGAAUUUAUUAUGACAUAAUUCCAAAUCUAGCAUGAAAUUGAAUCUUGUCCAACAAAACUAAUGUUUAGUUUGGAUUUCAUUAACAGAUGUUACAUCCACAUAAUUUUCAAAUUUGACUAGAAAUUUUUACAUUAGAUAAAAAAUAAAAUAAACUCAAAUUCUAAACUUUAUUCAAAACAUACAUGUCCUUGAUUUUUUUCAGUUAACUAGACAGGGUAUAUAUAUGCCACAUUAACUUAUUCAAUAGGAAUCUGUUUGUCCAAAAGUUUUAUCUCUUUGUGUUGAUCACCUUAUAGUUGAUCGAAGUUAUGUAAUAUCUUUUUUAUUCGUAAGUAAUAUAAUAGUUUAACAUGUACUUUAACUAAUGAGAUCAUUACAUAGUUAGAGACUUAGAGCCUAACCUCUUUUCGAUAUUUCUUGUAGGUGAAGUACGCUUGCAGAGCUUUUUGGAUCUUUUUUUGCAUUCUCUUCACAAUUCUCAUUUUCAGCAUAGUGGACUGUGGACCCUGCAUGCUUAACUUUAUCUCCGCUCGGUUGUCAUUGCUCAUUUCCGUUCAUCCUCUCUGCUCUAUUUCGAUAUAAACUUCGUAUUUAGUUGUAGGAAAAGGUAUAAUUAACAGUUUACAUUUAUGUAACUAUCUUUUCCAUAUUUAAUCGAAAACAUUAGUUUGAGAAACACACCUUCACAAAUAUCAAAAGAACGGAAAAGGAGAAAUAAUUGAUAUGUGGCCUACUCGGACAAGUGACCACUAAAUAACUAUCGUCGCUUAAUUUUUUUCUUUCGAAUAGUUAUAAUAUUUUUUUAUUGAUUUAACUAGAACGUUUGCGUAAAACAAAUAAAAGAACAAUUUAGUGGUAUAACUAGAAAGGUAAGGACCACAUCCACCACGUCUUGUUUCCAAGCUAAAGUUAAAUAUAUAUAGUAUUACUUAACGAUUACAAGUUCAUGUAUGAGUUGUUAAAUAUAGUAUCCAAAUAAAGCAAACUACUAUUACGAUAUGACUAUUUUGUUUAGGAAGGAGAAUAUUCAAAAGCAUGCGAAACUAUAAUAUCUAAGAUCACUAAAUGAAUUUAACAUUGUAUAUUUUAAACAAUAAAUAUAUAAAGUCUAAUUAAAGUAUUGAUUAAAUCAUGAAAAUGGGUUUCAUAAUUAUAUGAUUUGCUAAUCAGAAUCGAAAUGUUGCAUCGAUAGUUUUUUUUUGUAUUUAUGUUUUGUCUUCAAAUUACACUUGUCAAAACCUGUUAAACAAAGAUUCAAAAAAAAAGACCUGCAAAAAAAACAAGUAAUGAAUCCAACAAAUAGACACAAAUGUUAAAGAGAGUGGAGGACCGCAGGGUGGUUGCCACUUUGGUCAAAGGUUUCUAUUUUGGGAAUUUCCAAAAACGGAUAAGAAAAUAUUAUAUCAUCCGACGACAGUCGCAAGUGAUACUCGAUGCCAGGUAAAAUCUUUGUUCGUAUAUAUGAAGAACUUCUACUUUGCAGUUUCCUUGUGAGCUUUCUUCCGGAGAAAAAUUAAAAAUAUCUUUUUCUUUUCGUUGUGUAAUCUUCAUCGCAUUACUUUAACAAAAAAAAAAAUCGUCAUCGCAUUUUGUCAAGAUCGGUGGUGAAGUCUAACACAGGUGCAUUAUGGUGUUACAAGAACAACAUUAACAGACGUUAGAAGCAGUUGAAGAAGAUGAAGAAGAUGAAAGAGAGAGGACAAUCAGAUCCCCAAAAACUUGGCGAUUUCAAAGCUCUCACCUCAUGGCCAUCUAACCCAUGGCAGUUCCAAGGCACCAAUACUAUCAUCGUCGCAGCGUUCACAAUGGCAACCGCACUUUUACUACUCUCUCUCUGUGGAGGAGUUUCAGCCGCCACUCCAGUCUUGACCGUUCAUAGUUCGGACGGAGAUGUUAUAGACUGUGUUAAGAAAAUGGACCAACCAUCCCUCACGAACCCCCUCCUGAAAAAUCACUCCUUCCAGGAUUACCCCAGCGGCAUGACGAAAACAGAAGAAGGAGGAUUUGGCUGGCAAGUCUGGCAUCGCAAUGGAACAGCGUGCCCUCAUGGAACCGUUCCUGUACAAAGAGUUGAAGCUGAAGCUGAACUUUCACAGGGGAAGUACGGCCCCCUGAUUCCCGAUGCCGCAGAAAGAGCCACAAAAGGACAUCAGGCGAGUUUUUUUUUUCAUUAGUUCAACAUAUAUUAACUAUUCCCAACAUGAAUCUGAUCGUUUUUUGGUGAAAAUAGUACGCUGUAGGGUUCGUGGAAGCAGAUCUACCAAUCUAUGGGACGAGAGCCACGCUGAACGUCUGGAACCCCGUGGUGGAGUCAGGGGACGACUUCAGUUUGGCCCAAAUCUGGGUCACGUCCGGUAAUUACAAAAACAACGACCUCAACACGAUUGAGACGGGUUGGCAGGUGUACCCGAACAAAUAUGGCGAUCGACAAGCUAGACUGUUCACAUAUUGGACGAUAGAUGCCUAUAUUAGCAGCGGGUGUUACAACCACUAUUGCAAAGGGUUCGUACACGUCAACAGGCAUGUCGUCCUAGGAGGAGCAAUCAUCGGGACUUCGACAUUUGGGGGAGACCAGUUCGAUAUAACCUUGCAGAUUUGGAAGGAUCCUCUUUCAGGCCAUUGGUGGUUGGGGAUGGGCCUGACUGUUGUCCCGAUCGGUUACUGGCCCGUCGAACUAUUCACGACACUGUCGGCUCACGCCUCCAAAGUACAGUGGGGCGGGGAAGUUUUAUAUAUGAACAGCACCGGAUUGAGCAACAUUACCCAAAUGGGUUCCGGAGCAUUUCCAGGCAAAGGAUUCAGGAAAGCAGCAUAUGUCUGCAACAUGCAGAUUGCCGAGAAGAACCGGUCCCUUCUGCCGCCUCUAGACUUUCAGUUAGGAGCGACGCAGCCCGACUCGUACACGGCUGCGAAGACGCAUACUAGAGGGCCUAGUGGCUGCGGAGACCAUUUUUACUACGGAGGGCCUGGGCCACUACGAUCAUCCUCCUUUCGGAGUGAUCCGUUAGCUAUUCUAUUUUUGUUUUUGGGCGUUUAUGUUGUUGUCUAGUUGUAGCACAAGUCAUAUAAUAUAUGUGUGUACUACUUUAAUCGUUUUGUGUGUGUGUGUGUGUGUGUCUGUGUUGUAAAAGAUUAGUUCGUUGAUUAAUUAAAUAUAUAUAUAUAUAUAUAUAUAUAUAUCUGUAAGCAUAAAUGAGAAAAGAUUAGUUUGAAAUGGUGUAUGGAGACCUCUGAUCUUGGGAUUGAUCUUCUCUGUAAGAAAUGUAAAGACUUGAAGUCUCUCUCUCAUGUUUCGUCUCAGAGCUUCUCUCUUUACUCUGUUUUAGUUAUUCGAUUGGCAUAAGUUGAAAACUUUGAUACGUAUGGGUGUAAAGUUUUUCUAUCUUGGCUGUGAUUUGGUUCAGAUCACCAAUGAUUCUGUCCGCUCUAUUGCUUUACUGCCAAAGCUCGAGGUUUUUAGACAUGGUAAGCUGCCCCUUGAUAGAUGAUGCUUGGUUACAGUAUCUUGAGAAAUGGCUCUCCUUCACUACAGGUACUAUUUUGAAGCUUUAAUCAAUUUAAGAUUGCCGGGACAGAAUAGCCUAGUGGUAACACUAGAGUGAACUGGAUCCCAAGGCGCCUGGGUUCGAGUCCUCUAGGAUUCCAGAGACCGCCCGUGACAAAAAAAAAAAAAAAAAAAAAAAAAAAUCAAUUUAAGAUUAUUUAUUAACUGGUAAGAACUAUAAACAGGAGAUUUGAUGUCACAAGGUGUGAUCGCAUGAGUUCGUCCAGCUUAAUCUCCAUACUCAAAGGCCAUCCUGUCCGAUCUUCAACACCUUAAAGCUAGUCACUGUAUAUCCGAAAUAUCUGUGACAACAUCAAACCUUUGAAGCAUCUCAAGACUCUAUGGAUCGAUGGAGCUCGCGUCUCUGAUUCCUCUCUUUUAACCUUAACCUCUAGCUGUAGAGCCUUGCCAGAGCUCGGAGUGAGCAGAUGUGUAGGUGUGACUGACGGUGGGAUGGGACUAGCACGCAACUGCUCCAACCUGAAAGCCCUAAACCUAGCAUGCAGCCAUCUCUGCUGUUGUUCAGUCUUGUCUGAACGUGGAUGUUACUCCAAGCGUCUUUGAGAGCUCUAUCUUACUGACUGUGAUGGCGUUAAUGAUUAGAGGUAAAGAGAAGAUACAUGUCAAAUGAAACUCUAAAUGUGUUUCUUGAUCUUAUCAGUUAUGGUAUUUUUUUCUUUGGCCACAGGGCUUGAGUAAUGAGUAUAUCUCAAAAUGUUCGCAUCUUCUAAGAUUGAAACUUGGCCUCUGCGCAAAUAUCUCAGACAAAGGGAUCUUUCAUAUCGGCUCCAAAUGUUCGAAGCUUCUAGAACUUGAUCUAUACCGCUGUGCUGGUUUUGGAGAUGACGGUUUAGCAGCUAUAUCAAGAGGUUGCAAGAGCUUGAACCGGCUCUCAUUCUAUCCUACUGCGGUGAACUAAGAGACGCUGGGGUUGAAAAAAUACAUCUAAGUCACCUUGAACUGCGAGGGAUAAAGAAUAUAACUGGUACUGGUCUUGCUGCAAUUACUCGCGGCUGCAAGAAACUAGCUUACUUGGACUCAAGCUAUGUGAGAAUAUCGAUGACUCAGGCUUCUGGGCGGUUGCGUACUUGUCAAGAAACCUAAGACAGGUAAAAACGAAAAGCAUUGGUGUGCUAAACUGAUUCGCUUUGGUUAAUGGAAACAUGUUUGAUUCUUUGUGUUUGUGUUUGGUUGGUGUGCUAAACUGAUUUUUCGGACUCUUCUCCGCCGUUAUCUCCCGUGGAGAUCUUUUCCCGGCCGCUCUCAUCCCCGAUGGACAAUGAAGAUGACGAUGUGCUGUCAUCGUCGACUGAGUCUUCUCCUUCGCCGGAGGAAUCAUCGGUGCGACGGCAGAAGAUGAGGAGUCCCGGAUUAGAUUAGUGAAACUGUGAAAUCUUUUUACUAUUCUUGGGAUCCGUGUAAUAUCUCUCCGUUAACUUUACUUUUACCUUUGACGGUGUUUUUAAUUGCACGUUGACUUAACGCCCUCAAUUUAUAGAUGUCCUUUAAUCUCGCUGCAGGUGAGCCUUUCUGUUUCUUAGAGCUUCUUCGUUUUAAACCUUUAACUUUUAGUCAAAAACUAUUUUCGUUGAUCAAGUCAUUUCGGUUUUGUCAAAAAUCAAUUGUUUAGUAGAAUUAGUUAUAUUUGACUGUUAACUUUUAACGAAAUCAAAAUGGUUUAGUCAAUAAAAAUAUAAUUUUUUGUUUCAGUUUUAAAAUUGAAGAUUAAAAUUGCUUAAUUAAAAAUAUCUUAAUUAAAAAUGGUUGUUUUUCUUUUUUUUUUAACAUGAAAAUUGUAGUUUUUAAUAUCGAUUAGAAUGACUAACUCAAUAAAAUAUGCUUAAAUAAACUUAGAUAUAAUAUUUUAAAAAUGAAUAAAAAACUAAAAAUUGUUUAACAAAAAAAAAAUUAAUUAAAAAUACAAUUAUAAUGUAAAUUCAGAUAUAACAAAAAAUAAUUAAAUGCUUAUGUUUUAAACAAUUUUAAGAAUAAAAACAUAAAAGUUAAAGGUGAAAUCUUAAACAUGAUAUUGUUAGAAUUAUGAUCAUAUAUGCUCGAUAGAAGAUGAAAUAAGUGAGAAAGAAUGAAUGGCAAGUGCGUGAAAGGGAUCUCUGAUGGCUGAUCUAUAGAAAUAGUUGUCGUUGUUAGCCGAAGAUCUUUUUCACGCACUCGCCUUCGUACUUUCUCACUUGCCUCAUCUUCUAAUUAUAAUUGUAUUUUUAAUUAAGUUUUUAAAAUAUUUUAGAUUUUUAUUUAUUUUUAAAAUAUUAUAUCUAAGCUUAUUUGAAUAUAUUUUACUAAGCUAGUGAAUUGAUAUGAAAACAACAAUUUUUAAUUAAGAUAUUUUUUAAGUAAAUAAUUCUAAUCCUUAACUUUAAAAUUGGAACAAAAAUCUCACAUUUGCAUUGAUCAAACCAUUUUGACCUCAUUAAAAAUCUACCGAUUCGUGUUUGACUAGAAGUUGAAAGUCAAAAUAGUGUGUUUGUGAAUUGGACAUUUUUUUUUGUUUAUUUUCUAAAUUUGAAGGUUAUUUUGUCAAUUUUCUUUUUUUUUUUUUACCUUUUAAGCUUUAAUUAAAGGAAAAUGAAAAACCGACCUUCGUUUAUCCAUUGCACUUUAGUUUGCAAAAAAAAAAUGACUAGGAUAGCACUAAAAUUUUUUUUGUUACAAAUAUAGCUUCUAAGAAUAAAAAUGACUAAAAUAACACUUAAUAUUUUAUCAAAAGAGAUAAAUAUACACUUAUAUUCCAAUAGUAAAUUAAUUUAGACAUUAGAGUUUAAAGUUAAGAGGUGAGAUUUAGGAUUUACGAUUUAGGGUUUAGGGUUUAGAGUUUAGAGUUUAGGGGGUUUAGAGUUGGGGAGUGGGGUUUAGAGGAUAAGAUUUCAAAUUUUGAAAAAUAAAAAAAUUUAAAUUUUUCAAAAGAUAAAAUAUUAUUUUGUUCAUUUUAAAAGUGCUAUUUUGGAGAUUUGCCACGAAAAAAAUGUUUCAGUUUAUAUAUCAGAAGAUAAAUAAUUCAAUUAAGAAAAGAAACUGCAACCGAACCUCACCGUUUAUCCACAAAUCACUUUUGAUCUUCUUUGCAUUUUUGAACUUUCGAUUUCGCAUCAGAAAAAAUAUGAAAGGUUCAGUGAUUGGUAACUCUCAAGCGAAGAUCUGCAGAUCAGAAUUAACACGCAGGGAGCUCGGGUUUAGAUUUGGAUCCGACGUAAUCUCCGGUGAAUCGAUAAAUAGGGUUAGCUCGAAAUGGAUCUCCGAGAUCCGUCAAAUGCGAAGCCAUCGUCUCCGAUCAAGCUCCGUUUCUGAAACCCUCUCCACACUCUAGAUCACUUGAGAUGGUGAAGUUUCAGACUGCAACAACGUGAAAAAUGCUUUGAAGGGAGUGGAGUUUUUGAGAAAGAAGCUGCAGGCAAAUAUGAAUGGUCAGUAGGGUACUUAGCUGUGGCGGAGAUUGUUAAGAAGAUUGCUUGUCGUUUGUAGUUGAUGAUGUUCCUGUUUUUGAUGGGAAGACUCCUAUGGAGGUUUCUGCGAGAGCUUCAAGUCUGCUUUCUCAGACUAACAUGGGUAACACAAUCACGGUAUUGUUUUACACUUUCUGAUUUUACCUCAUGUGUGUUUACAGGGAAUCACAUUUGGGGUAUUGUUUUACACUUUCUGAUGCUCCUGCCAGCCUCAUUCCAAUUCUUUCUUCUCAGACGGUGGACUUGGUACUCGUCUCUUCUCACCUCCCAUGCAGACCGUGUCCUCUCCGUUGCUUCAUCAGCAUUCAGCGGAAUUGGUGUGUGCUACCUCUCUUACACCAAGCUAACAUCCUCAGCCUUCUGAGUUAACAGCUGGAUUCUACAGAUCUUAUGGUCAUGACAGGUUCGAUGCUUUCACAGUCUUUGUUCGGAACAUGAACCAGGUCGAGCUGUCCUCAUAUGAUCAAGCAGUAGAGGAUGAGGCUCAGACAGUGAGCUUAGGUUCAGGCACUGGUGCACAUAGUUUGCAAACCCUUGAUGAUGAGUAUUCAUGUUCGUACGUAAAAAACAAACAAAGUCUCUUGUUAUUUAGCAUCCUCAUGUUUGUAGGUAAUGCUCUAAAAUCAACUUCAAAAACCUCUUUCCAAUCUUUUUCUAUCUCCUUACUUAUACAGGAAGCAGAAAUCUGAUGAAAUAAUCUGGGAAUUUUUUGACUUUGGAAUGUUUCUUCAGAUGUCCUGAGCUCCCUAUGACCCUUUUUGCCUUCCAAUACCAUUGAAUCCUCUCCUGUUAUUGUUUACACCCUUGUCAAUAACAUCUUCACAGUUUUUCUCCAGCCCAAAAUUUCCAGAGCUCCCCACAACUGCUCCCACUUGAGCAUAUUGAUUCCUAUCCAUCUUCAGAUUCGGGUUUUCAGCAGAAAGAUCAACCACAUAGACUUGCUUUCUGGUUAGAGAAUCUUCUCUUGCAUCUUCAUUAUCAUUGGUAACUAACUCUUCAGUUUUUAUAUAGAACACUGCGGUUUCCAGCAUUGUACCUUUCCCCACGCUCGUUCCUCUUCACACCAACCUUUACAAAUGAGUAGUUUGUUGAUACAUUCGAUUGGAUCAUUUCAACCCUUCAGAUCGGAAGUGACUUAAAUCUCUGUGUUUCAGAAAUUGAAAUUGAAUUUGUGUGUGUUUGAUUUAAAUUUUGUUGGUGAGAUCUUAUUAAUAAAAUUGACAAAUCUGUAAUA
This is a long non-coding RNA of Brassica napus (rape), 9801 nucleotides long. RefSeq lists it as uncharacterized. The transcript is spliced from 10 exons. NCBI's taxonomy places the organism in Eukaryota, Viridiplantae, Streptophyta, Magnoliopsida, Brassicales, Brassicaceae. The record is from RefSeq and is a predicted model, not a curated record.